RNAcentral lists this long non-coding RNA (731 nucleotides) under Rattus norvegicus (Norway rat). RNAcentral's name for it is "long non-coding RNA NONRATT030250". Lineage: Eukaryota; Metazoa; Chordata; Mammalia; Rodentia; Muridae. The record is from RNAcentral.
AAGCCAGGGCAUGCACUUGUGGGAAAAUCAAGAGGACAGCUUGCAGGAGUCAGUUCUCUCCUUCUACAUGUGUCCCAGGGUUUGAACUCAGGCCAUUAGGCUUGGUGGCAAGCCCCUCACCCACUGAGCCAUCGCACCAGACCCCCUUUUGUGUGUUUACUCACCUAUUUUCUAGCCUUUCCUUUUUCUUUUUAAUAUUUGUUAAGAGCUUUCUUCCAGCCUUUGCACUAGAUUUCUUGAUGUGCUACUACUGUCUUAUUUAUUGAAUCAAACACAAAACAUAGAAAAUACAAGUAUUUAAGUUAGAAGUGAAGUUUUAACUAAGAGAGAUAUUCAGUUGAUUAUCCCAUAUAUUGUAGCAGCCACGAACCACAAAAAAUCAACUAAAAUAUAGAAAAUCUGUUACAUAGGACAUCUGGCAUCUUUCUCAUUUUUAAAGAUUGCAUAUGUAUGUGUUAUGUUACGGGUGUGCGUGUGUGUGUGUGUGUUCAUGUGUGUGUGUGUGUGUGUACAUGGCUUCAGGUACCCACAAGGGCCAGAAGAGGACAUUAGAUCACCUGGAGCUGAAGAUAUUGGCAAUUGUGAGCCACCCCAUGUGUGUUCUGUAGCUCUGACAAAAGUAACAGUAGUCUUAACCACUGGGCCGUCUCUCCAGUGAUAUCUUUUUAUUAUUUUUUAAUAUUCUUUUUUAAAAGUUUGCAUCUUGAUCUGCAGUCCCUUUUUUUUUCUCU